RNAcentral lists this ribosomal RNA (497 nucleotides) under uncultured microorganism. RNAcentral's name for it is "bacterial SSU rRNA". It matches the Rfam family "Bacterial small subunit ribosomal RNA", at positions 9 to 524 of the family's 1533-position model. The record is from RNAcentral.
GAGUUUGAUCAUGGCUCAGAACGAACGCUGGCGGCGUGGAUAAGACAUGCAAGUCGAACGGGAGAAUUGCUAGCUUGCUAAUAAUUCUCUAGUGGCGCACGGGUGAGUAACACGUGAGUAACCUGCCCCCGAGAGCGGGAUAGCCCUGGGAAACUGGGAUUAAUACCGCAUAGUAUCGAAAGAUUAAAGCAGCAAUGCGCUUGGGGAUGGGCUCGCGGCCUAUUAGUUAGUUGGUGAGGUAACGGCUCACCAAGGCGAUGACGGGUAGCCGGUCUGAGAGGAUGUCCGGCCACACUGGAACUGAGACACGGUCCAGACACCUACGGGUGGCAGCAGUCGAGAAUCAUUCACAAUGGGGGAAACCCUGAUGGUGCGACGCCGCGUGGGGGAAUGAAGGUCUUCGGAUUGUAAACCCCUGUCAUGUGGGAGCAAAUUAAAAAGAUAGUACCACAAGAGGAAGAGACGGCUAACUCUGUGCCAGCAGCCGCCGCCGUAAG